This 406-nucleotide ribosomal RNA is filed under the name uncultured bacterium. Its description in RNAcentral is "partial 16S ribosomal RNA". It matches the Rfam family "Bacterial small subunit ribosomal RNA", at positions 30 to 526 of the family's 1533-position model. The record is from RNAcentral.
AUUGAACGCUGGCGGCAGGCCUAACACAUGCAAGUCGAACGAGUGGCGGACGGGUGAGUAAUGUCUGGGAAACUGCCCGAUGGAGGGGGAUAACUACUGGCAACGGUAGCUAAUACCGCAUACCAUCGGAUGUGCCCAGUUUGGAUUAGCUAGUAGGUGGGGUAAAGGCUCACCUCGGCGACGAUCCCUAGCUGGUCUGAGAGGAUGACCAGCCACACGGUAACUGGGACACGGUCCAGACUCCUCCGGGAGGCAGCAGUGGGGAAUAUUGCACAAUGGGCGCAAGCCUGAUGCAGCCAUGCCGCGGGUAUGAAGACGGCCUUCGGGUGGUAAAGUACUUUCAGCGGGGAGGCGUUACCCGCAGAAGAAGCACCGGCUAACUCCGUGCCAGCAGCCGCGGUAAUUC